AGAGUUUGAUCAUGGCUCAGGAUUAACGCUGGCGGCAUGCCUAAUACAUGCAAGUCGGACGAGGGUAGCAAUACCCUAGUGGCGAACGGGUGAGUAACACGUGGGAAAUCUGCCUUUAAGUCGAGGAUAACUGCUGGAAACGGCAGCUAAAACUGGAUAGGUUAUAUUGGGGCAUCCUGAUAUAAUUAAAAGUCCUUUACGGGAAUGCUUAAAGAUGAUCCUGCGUCGCAUUAGCUAGUUGGUGAGGUAGCGGCUCACCAAGGCGACGAUGCGUAGCUGUGCUGAGAGGCAAAACAGCCACACUGGGACUGAGACACGGCCCAGACUCCUACGGGAGGCAGCAGUAGGGAAUUUUCGGCAAUGGGGGAAACCCUGACCGAGCAAUGCCGCGUGAAUGAAGAAGGUCUUCGGACUGUAAAAUUCUGUUAUUUGUGGAAGAAAGGUAGUUGGAGGAAAUGCCAAUUACUUGACGGUACCAAAUGAGAAAGCCCCGGCUAACUAUGUGCCAGCAGCCGCGGUAAUACAUAGGGGGCGAGCGUUAUCCGGAAUUAUUGGGCGUAAAGCGUGCGUAGGUGGUCAGUUAAGUCUGGCGUGAAAUUCCCUGGCUUAACCAGGGGGGGUCGUUGGAAACUGGCUGACUUGAAUCCAGAAGGGGUAAGUGGAAUUCCAUGUGUAGCGGUAAAAUGCAUAGAGAUAUGGAGGAACACCAGUGGCGAAGGCGGCUUACUGGUCUGGAAUUGACACUGAGGCACGAAAGCGUGGGUAGCAAACAGGAUUAGAUACCCUGGUAGUCCACGCCGUAAACGAUGAGCACUAAGUGUCGGACGAAAGUUCGGUGCUGUAGUUAACGCAUUAAGUGCUCCGCCUGGGGAGUACGGUCGCAAGACUGAAACUCAAAUGAAUUGACGG
Molecule: ribosomal RNA, 909 nt
Filed under: uncultured bacterium
Lineage: Bacteria
Description: bacterial SSU rRNA
Rfam family: Bacterial small subunit ribosomal RNA
Source: RNAcentral